CAAAAUUUGGAAAUUAUUGAGCCAUUUCAUUCAAACCUCAUUUGGAAGCUGUGUUAAUGCAAUUGCAUUGUUUUUCUUCUAGGUUUUGAAGAAAGACAUGGAUGUAUAUCAGCUCCAGUGGUAUGGUUAUUGUCUGUUUAGGGCCCUUGCAUGUUUGCAUAAGCAGGAUUUGCAAAGCAAGUACACUAUUGGAAGUAAAUCAAAAUCAAGUCAUAAUGUUUCUUGCUUUGGAGAUG
Long non-coding RNA from Quercus lobata, 236 nucleotides. RefSeq lists it as uncharacterized. Lineage: Eukaryota; Viridiplantae; Streptophyta; Magnoliopsida; Fagales; Fagaceae. The transcript has 3 exons. The record is from RefSeq and is a predicted model, not a curated record.